UAUAGCUCAGUGGUAGAGUGCAUGCUUAGCAUGCACAAGGUCCUGGGUUCAAUCCCCAGUA
This 61-nucleotide transfer RNA is filed under the name Camelus dromedarius (Arabian camel). It matches the Rfam family "tRNA", at positions 6 to 65 of the family's 71-position model. Rfam says of the family: Transfer RNA (tRNA) molecules are approximately 80 nucleotides in length. Their secondary structure includes four short double-helical elements and three loops (D, anti-codon, and T loops). Lineage: Eukaryota; Metazoa; Chordata; Mammalia; Artiodactyla; Camelidae. RNAcentral also lists the same sequence under 2 other names. The record is from Rfam by way of RNAcentral.